Molecule: ribosomal RNA, 1054 nt
Filed under: uncultured eukaryote
Lineage: Eukaryota
Description: SSU rRNA
Rfam family: Eukaryotic small subunit ribosomal RNA
Source: RNAcentral
ACUAGUGAUUGGAGAGGGAGCCUGAGAAACGGCUACCACAUCCAAGGAAGGCAGCAGGCACGCAAAUUACCCACUCCCGGCACGGGGAGGUAGUGACGAAAAAUAACGAGGCGGUUCUCUACGAGGCCCGCCAUCGGAAUGGGUACAAUUUAAAUCCUUUAACGAGGAUCUAUUGGAGGGCAAGUCUGGUGCCAGCAGCCGCGGUAAUUCCAGCUCCAAUAGCGUAUAUUAAAGUUGUUGCGGUUAAAAAGCUCGUAGUUGGAUCUGCGGUCAAGGGAAGUGGUCCUCCGACGGAUGGUUACUGCUUUUCCUGACCUAACUACUUCGGUUUUCCCUUGAUGCUCUUAACCGGGUGUCUUGGGCGACCGAAACGUUUACUUUGAAAAAAUUAGAGUGCUCAAAGCAGGCGUUCAGCCUGAAUAGUGGUGCAUGGAAUAAUAAAAGAGGAUCUCGGUUCUAUUUUGUUGGUAUUGGAUUGAGAUAAUGAUCGACGGGGAUAGACGGGGGCAUUCGUAUUGCGACGUUAGAGGUGAAAUUCUUGGAUCGUCGCCAGACGAACAACUGCGAAGGCAUUUGCCAAGAAUAUGCUCUUCAAUCAAGAACGAAAGCGAGAGGCGCGAACGCGAUCAGAUACCGCGGUAGUUCUCGCCGUAAACGAUGCCAACUAGCGAUCCGCCGGAGUUAAAUGAUGACUCGGCGGGCAGCUUCCGGGAAACCAAAGUUUUUGGGUUCCGGGGGAAGUAUGGUUGCAAAGCUGAAACUUAAAGGAAUUGACGGAAGGGCACCACCAGGAGUGGAGCCUGCGGCUUAAUUUGACUCAACACGGGGAAACUCACCCGGCCCGGACACCGUAAGGAUUGACAGAUUGAGAGCUCUUUCUUGAUUCGGUGGGUGGUGGUGCAUGGCCGUUCUUAGUUGGUGGAGCGAUUUGUCUGGUUAAUUCCGAUAACGAACGAGACUCUAGCCUGCUAAAUAGACAGUGAAUCGUUAGUUCACUGUACUUCUUAGAGGGACAAGCGGCAUCUAGCUGCACGAGAUUGAGCAAUAACAGGUC